This 1194-nucleotide ribosomal RNA is filed under the name Bacillus sp. 1194. Its description in RNAcentral is "bacterial SSU rRNA". It matches the Rfam family "Bacterial small subunit ribosomal RNA", at positions 158 to 1339 of the family's 1533-position model. Lineage: Bacteria; Bacillati; Bacillota; Bacilli; Caryophanales; Bacillaceae. The record is from RNAcentral.
CGGAGCUAAUACCGGAUAGUUCCUUGAACCGCAUGGUUCAAGGAUGAAAGACGGUUUCGGCUGUCACUUACAGAUGGACCCGCGGCGCAUUAGCUAGUUGGUGGGGUAAUGGCUCACCAAGGCGACGAUGCGUAGCCGACCUGAGAGGGUGAUCGGCCACACUGGGACUGAGACACGGCCCAGACUCCUACGGGAGGCAGCAGUAGGGAAUCUUCCGCAAUGGACGAAAGUCUGACGGAGCAACGCCGCGUGAGUGAUGAAGGUUUUCGGAUCGUAAAGCUCUGUUGUUAGGGAAGAACAAGUGCGAGAGUAACUGCUCGCACCUUGACGGUACCUAACCAGAAAGCCACGGCUAACUACGUGCCAGCAGCCGCGGUAAUACGUAGGUGGCAAGCGUUGUCCGGAAUUAUUGGGCGUAAAGGGCUCGCAGGCGGUUUCUUAAGUCUGAUGUGAAAGCCCCCGGCUCAACCGGGGAGGGUCAUUGGAAACUGGGAAACUUGAGUGCAGAAGAGGAGAGUGGAAUUCCACGUGUAGCGGUGAAAUGCGUAGAGAUGUGGAGGAACACCAGUGGCGAAGGCGACUCUCUGGUCUGUAACUGACGCUGAGGAGCGAAAGCGUGGGGAGCGAACAGGAUUAGAUACCCUGGUAGUCCACGCCGUAAACGAUGAGUGCUAAGUGUUAGGGGGUUUCCGCCCCUUAGUGCUGCAGCUAACGCAUUAAGCACUCCGCCUGGGGAGUACGGUCGCAAGACUGAAACUCAAAGGAAUUGACGGGGGCCCGCACAAGCGGUGGAGCAUGUGGUUUAAUUCGAAGCAACGCGAAGAACCUUACCAGGUCUUGACAUCCUCUGACAACCCUAGAGAUAGGGCUUUCCCUUCGGGGACAGAGUGACAGGUGGUGCAUGGUUGUCGUCAGCUCGUGUCGUGAGAUGUUGGGUUAAGUCCCGCAACGAGCGCAACCCUUGAUCUUAGUUGCCAGCAUUCAGUUGGGCACUCUAAGGUGACUGCCGGUGACAAACCGGAGGAAGGUGGGGAUGACGUCAAAUCAUCAUGCCCCUUAUGACCUGGGCUACACACGUGCUACAAUGGACAGAACAAAGGGCUGCAAGACCGCAAGGUUUAGCCAAUCCCAUAAAUCUGUUCUCAGUUCGGAUCGCAGUCUGCAACUCGACUGCGUGAAGCUGGAAUCGCUAGU